GACGGCCAGAUCACGUUAAAAGACCGGUUCCCGUUCGAUCACCGAAGUUAAACAAAUUUGAGCCUGGUCAGUACCUAGAUGGGUGACCGCUUUAGAAUGCCAGGUGCUGUAAG
Molecule: non-coding RNA, 113 nt
Organism: Acanthosepion pharaonis
Lineage: Eukaryota; Metazoa; Mollusca; Cephalopoda; Sepiida; Sepiidae
Source: the annotation of a GenBank genome assembly